AAAAACAAUAAAAUAUGAACGUAUACCAUUAAGACUUAAGAAGAAAAUUUUAUUCUAAAUGUUUAAAUACAUAUAGGAAAAAAACCCUACAAACUACACAUAUUUUUCUAUCUUCAUUUCCAGUGACCCAAGGCUACUUUGAGGAAAUAAAACAAACCAUGAAGAAAUAGUCUAAAGCAAUUCAUCAUCAACAAAUACGUAGAACCAAAUCUUUCUAGGUAUUAUCAAAUAAGGAAAUAUUUCACUGUAGCUGAGCUAACUUAUUAAAGAAACAAGUAUAUAUCAAUGUGUACAGCAACGUUCUAAGCACUACCAAGCAUAAGAGUAGAAUAAACAAAAUCUGAUUCAAAGCAGUUUCUAACCUACUUUGUAAAGACAUGAAAGAGUAAUUCAUAAUACUAGACAGUAUACAGAAGAAAGUACAUAUAGAAAGGAGUUUCUAGCUCUGUUGUAUAGUAACAGUGAUGGAAAUACUGGUAUUUAAAGUAUGUUUUGUUGAAUAAGUUACAAGCCAAAAUAUCAUUAAUAACAAUAGGAAAUUAGAACUUAGUAUUAUGAUGAAGUGAGGAGAAAAACAUAAAUUUUCCUGAAAAAGUCAGAAAAGGCUUCAGAAAGGUGUUGAAGAAGACUCAACAAAAGGUUAUUUCUGCAAAUAUAUUUAUUAACUAAUGGAUUUUUACUGUCAUAGUCUUGAUAGAUGCAAUGGAAGAUUUUUAAAAUCUGAGUAAAAUCCAGUCCUUAUACAGUUUAAUGGUGGUGAAGUAUAUAUACAUAUAAACCAAGAGUAAGACAAAAUUA
Molecule: long non-coding RNA, 798 nt
Organism: Phyllostomus discolor (pale spear-nosed bat)
Lineage: Eukaryota; Metazoa; Chordata; Mammalia; Chiroptera; Phyllostomidae
Exons: 2
Source: RefSeq, a predicted model, not a curated record